AGAGCGAACGCUGGCGGCAGGCCUAAAACAUGCAAGUCGAACGAACCCUUCGGGGUUAGUGGCGGACGGGUGAGUAACACGUGGGAACGUGCCCUUUGGUUCGGAACAACUCAGGGAAACUUGAGCUAAUACCGGAUGUGCCCUUCGGGGGAAAGAUUUAUCGCCAUUGGAGCGGCCCGCGUCUGAUUAGCUAGUUGGUGAGGUAAAGGCUCACCAAGGCGACGAUCAGUAGCUGGUCUGAGAGGAUGAUCAGCCACACUGGGACUGAGACACGGCCCAGACUCCUACGGGAGGCAGCAGUUAGGAAUCUUGCGCAAUGGGCGAAAGCCUGACGCAGCCAUGCCGCGUGAAUGAUGAAGGUCUAGGAUUGUAAAUUCUUCAGCAGGGAAGAUAAUGACGGUACCUGCAGAAGAAGCUCCGGCUAACUUCGUGCCAGCAGCCGC
This 443-nucleotide ribosomal RNA is filed under the name uncultured bacterium. RNAcentral's name for it is "SSU rRNA". It matches the Rfam family "Bacterial small subunit ribosomal RNA", at positions 26 to 518 of the family's 1533-position model. The record is from RNAcentral.